Molecule: non-coding RNA, 46 nt
Organism: Erinaceus europaeus (western European hedgehog)
Lineage: Eukaryota; Metazoa; Chordata; Mammalia; Eulipotyphla; Erinaceidae
Source: Rfam
ACAAUGGCUUUAUUUAAAGCCAUUUACAACUUAAAAUUUACAUUUU